GAACGGUUGGCUCAGUUGGAAGAGCGCUCGCAUGGCUCGCGAGAGGUCGCGGGUUCGAGUCCCGCGUCGUUUA
Leptidea sinapis is the source of this 73-nucleotide non-coding RNA. Lineage: Eukaryota; Metazoa; Arthropoda; Insecta; Lepidoptera; Pieridae. The record is from the annotation of a RefSeq genome assembly.